This 311-nucleotide unclassified non-coding RNA is filed under the name fungal sp. RNAcentral describes it as "partial internal transcribed spacer region". The stretch from base 1 to 46 matches the Rfam family "Eukaryotic small subunit ribosomal RNA", at positions 1786 to 1831 of the family's 1831-position model. The record is from RNAcentral. Lineage: Eukaryota; Fungi.
AAGUCGUAACAAGGUUUCCGUAGGUGAACCUGCGGAAGGAUCAUUAACAAAUCUAUACAACAUUCACCUGUUGCACUGGCUGGGAAUGCUGCAAGAUCAAAGUAAUUAAAACUACUCUGCUUGCAGUUGAACCAGAGAUGUUGCUGCGCUUGCUUUGGCUUGUCCUUGGAGUUAUCCCAUCUGUGGAUGGCUCUGUCUCUUAGGAUUGCCAAUGUCUCGCAAGGCAACUUACAUAAACUGUCUAUUUUAUUGUCUAAUUGUACGUUAUGAGGGAUUAAUACAACUAUUAGCAGUGGAUCUCUUGGCUCCCA